CUUAACUUCUGACGACUGAGGCGGAAGCCAACAUGCUCUUUGGAGGCUCGGCGACACACAACCCAGGGAGCAGGACUUUCCCCCAGCCAAGUCCCUUCGGCUCCAGGAUGGGCACAGGCUCAAGUCAUCUACACCAGGAACCCACCAGCCAAGACUGGAGGAGCACUCACUGCUCAGGACUCGCAAGGGAUUGCUGGUUCGGCUCGGACCCCCUCCCUCUCCCUGCUCAGCCCCUAAGGCAGCAAGCGGGUCCCAAAGAUAAGAGCUAUCAAGUCUCAGGGCUUCCCUCAUGUAGUGCCACAGAAAAUGGCUAAAAUUGCAAGAUGCAAUCAAAGAGACCCCUACAGAACCCCUACAGAACACUCCUAGAGCAAACAGGGGAAACUGGAAGAUGGUUACUUAUACAUCUUCAAAAACCUCCGGACUCAGGAAACAGUGCCGAUUUGGGGAGCUCUUCAGGAUACUUCGGGACUAUUCGGUGUUUUAAUAUUAGCGCGUUUAAAGUUUGGACUGAAAUAUGUAUUUUGUUUUGGAAGGGGGAGGAAUAAGGGGAAGAUUCUUUGUUCUAAAUCGUGGGAAUUGUUAAGGUAUUUUAAUUCAAGAAAUUAAAUGGUUUAUUGAGCUACUGCGGUAUAUUUUUUCUUGAUACAUUUUACUGUAUAAGAAAAGAAAGUUACUUUGCAAUAACUCUAGACAGGUCCUGUCUUUCUCGCUACGCAAAGAUGUAAUUUUAAGGUGCGCAGGUGAUUUUUCUUUGUAUGACUGGAUUUGAAUUUGAUGUAACACAUAAAAAAUGCGCAUAUUAGCACUGAAUGUUAUACAAAGAUAAAUGCAUGUAUCUUUCACUAACAGAGGGCCGAAAUUCCCUCCUUCCCUAAUACCCCACAGAAGCCAAUGGGACUGCAAGGGUUUAAUUUGAGGGAAGAAUUUCCUCUAUAUUUGGUUAAAUAUUUGAAAGUUGAAAUGUAAUGUAUUUCUGGACAGUUUACAUUGUAUCGGAGUUCUCUCCACUCACGGAAAUGUUGUCAGUCUCGGUGUAAAAUAGCUAAUAUAAAUCUUUAUUGGGUCCGUUCUGGCAGAAACGCCUAAGAUUAUAAACGAUUUAUAAUUUCGGCAUAUUUUAGGGGGAAAUAAUUGGUGGGAAGAAUAUUCUACCGUCUUCAAAUUGGGGAAAGGAGAGAAUUGAAGAAAUUACUGAUAAAAUGUACAUUAAAGUAAUUACACUGAUGAGCAAGGAUGUGAGUUGCCUUAGAAAAUGAGUGCAUUAUCAAAUAUUGCAAACAAGCCUGUUUAAUCUGCAUUACCGUGUGUGUUAUCGAACACCAUAAAAUCGCAAUUGACACUUCAUUUUGUAUUUACUCAACACUCUGAUUAUUUACACAAGCAGAAAGGCUUUCGAAAUAUCCAUCUACACAACUGUUCUUGGUCUCCCACGUUUUAUAUUGGGACUUUUUUUUAUUUAUGAGUGUUUUAACUGGGUCAAAAAUGCACCAGAAUUGGGUCGUAAAUCAUCAGAAACGAUGACAAGCAAUACGUCUGCAAUUAAAGCUUACAUUUUAUUUUCACGACGCGUUUUUGGCCCGUUUAAAAUAUGGUUUGACCUGCUUUAGCUUUAAACACACUGUUGGGAGUGAAAUAGCCCUGCUUUAAUUGCGUAAGAAAAACACUAUGGCUAAUAAAGAGGAACAUGCUUCGUUAUGUGUGGGGGAACUGGCAUUUCUUUGGGUCAGUUCUAUUCGGAGUGUAUCUGUUGGCAGCUAAACCCAAAUUCUACAUUUCCGCUUUCUGGAACCGUGCAGAAUGGCCGCGAGUCGUUCUAAAUUAAACUCUGCCUUUGUGUUUCAGCAAAGAACGUUUUGUUUCUAAUAGUUCGAUUUUUUUUCCAUGACCCGCUCAUAAAUUGAGUAAUUACAACUGCCCAGUAAUUUGGGACAAAAUGACACAGCCGUAUCUAGGCGAGCACGCUGCCCCAACUCACUGGAAACAUAAAUCAAACCUCAGCACUCUGACCUUUCCCAAAGCUGGAACUCACUGGUGGAUGUAAUUUUAUAUAACAUUUGUCCCCUUGUAGAACACAAGGAAUCCCUUCAUUUUUGGGUUAUUUGAGGUGCAUUUCCCCCUACACAAUAUAUGUAGUUAUAUAGCGCAGGUUACGACAUAGUGGUAGAGAUAGGAAAUUUAGUGAUCACGUAAAUCCUUACAGAAAGGAGAUUGUCCCCUCCACCCUCGCUUUCCAGAUCCCUUAUUCAGAGUAAAACAAAUUUCCAGAGGCUGAUUUAUUGUUAGAAUCGGUGGAUGGACAUUUGUUCAUAGCCAGAUAAUUCUUAGCUAAAUCCAGGUUUGGUUUCACUAAAGAAAGAAAGGCAAUCCCUUCUCAACUGGAAUUGUUAACCUCGAUAUGGUAGAGAGCUAAUCCAGCCCUGCUCGCAUGGUAAACAAAGUACCACUAAGCAUCAUAAAUAAAAUGGCAGCACAAUUGCAUACUCAUCGAUUUUCGGAGCCGGAAUCGGCAAAAGAAGCACACAGCAAACAAAACAAUAACAACAGCCACAAAUCGAACCCCGACUCCAUUCCAUGGGUGUUUCUCAAUCUCCUGAAAUACUCUUGUAUACACAGAUAUGUAUGUAUUACAAGAAAAAUAAGAUUCUCCCAGUCUCCACUUGAUCGUAAAAGACAACAGUAAUGUAGCUUUAAAAGAGAUUUAACAGAGGGAGAUCCCCAUAAAAGAAACACAGAAUCUCUAGGGGGGG
Malaclemys terrapin pileata is the source of this 2750-nucleotide long non-coding RNA. RefSeq lists it as uncharacterized. The transcript has 2 exons. NCBI's taxonomy places the organism in Eukaryota, Metazoa, Chordata, Testudines, Emydidae. The record is from RefSeq and is a predicted model, not a curated record.